UUAGUGGCGGACGGGUGAGUAACGCGUGGGAACCUGCCUUGCGACCGGGGGAUAACACUUAGAAAUAGGUGCUAAUACCGCAUAAGCGCACAGAGCCGCAUGGCUCGGUGUGAAAAACUCCGGUGGUGCAAGAUGGACCCGCGUCUGAUUAGCUGGUUGGCGGGGUAACGGCCCGCCAAGGCGACGAUCAGUAGCCGGCCUGAGAGGGUGAACGGCCACAUUGGGACUGAGACACGGCCCAAACUCCUACGGAAGGCAGCAG
RNAcentral lists this ribosomal RNA (262 nucleotides) under uncultured bacterium. Its description in RNAcentral is "partial 16S ribosomal RNA". It matches the Rfam family "Bacterial small subunit ribosomal RNA", at positions 92 to 354 of the family's 1533-position model. The record is from RNAcentral.